Molecule: ribosomal RNA, 497 nt
Filed under: uncultured bacterium
Lineage: Bacteria
Description: partial 16S ribosomal RNA
Rfam family: Bacterial small subunit ribosomal RNA
Source: RNAcentral
GAUGAACGCUGGCGGCGUGCCUAAUACAUGCGAGUCGAGCGAACGGACGAGAAGCUUGCUUCUCUGAUGUUAGCGGCGGACGGGUGAGUAACACGUGGAUAACCUACCUAUAAGACUGGGAUAACUUCGGGAAACCGUAGCUAAUACCGGAUAAUAUUUUGAACCGCAUGGUUCAAAAGUUAAAGACGGUCUUGCUGUCACUUAUAGAUGGAUCCGCGCUGCAUUAGCUAGUUGGUAAGGUAACGGCUUACCAAGGCAACGAUGCAUAGCCGACCUGAGAGGGUGAUCGGCCACACUGGAACUGAGACACGGUCCAGACUCCUACGGGAGGCAGCAGUAGGGAAUCUUCCGCAAUGGGCGAAAGCCUGACGGAGCAACGCCGCGUGAGUGAUGAAGGUCUUCGGAUCGUAAAACUCUGUUAUUAGGGAAGAACAUAUGUGUAAGUAACUGUGCACAUCUUGACGGUACCUAAUCAGAAAGCCACGGCUAACUACGUG